This 156-nucleotide ribosomal RNA is filed under the name Alpinia zerumbet (pink porcelain-lily). RNAcentral describes it as "5.8S rRNA". It matches the Rfam family "5.8S ribosomal RNA". Rfam says of the family: 5.8S ribosomal RNA (5.8S rRNA) is a component of the large subunit of the eukaryotic ribosome. It is transcribed by RNA polymerase I as part of the 45S precursor that also contains 18S and 28S rRNA. Lineage: Eukaryota; Viridiplantae; Streptophyta; Magnoliopsida; Zingiberales; Zingiberaceae. The record is from RNAcentral.
AAUGACUCUCGGCAAUGGAUAUCUCGGCUCUUGCAUCGAUGAAGAACGUAGUGAAAUGCGAUACUUGGUGUGAAUUGCAGAAUCUCGUGAACCAUUGAGUCUUUGAACGCAAGUUGUGCCCGAGGCCUUGUGGUCGAGGGCACGCCUGCUUGGGCG